CGGGCAAUGACAUCGAGCCCAUGGAGGUGGACCCGCCUGGCAGUGACACGGAGCCAAUGGAGGUGGAUCUGCCUCCGGAGGAUGACAUGAUGGAGGUGGAUCCACCUCCGCUGCUGCAGACCAGCCACCGCAGCACCACUGCCAGGCCGAUCAGAAAGAGGUUGCGCCCCAGGGAUCGCCGGGGCGCCAGGAUCCGUCCACCUCCAUCCAAACGGCCGCCUCGACGCCGGUGCUGAUGCUCCCACCCCGUAAGUUUGCCCUCAUCCAGGAGAGCCCCAGCUCAGGGCCACCCUGUGGGCUCACACAGAGCCUCCAUUUCCUGGUCGUUCUUCUUUUCACAGCCAAGGCUCCGACGAGUCUGUCUUUCCCAUCCCCUUGUCCCUUCCCAAGUCCUCUCAUCUCUUCUUCACUGAAUCCUGAGGAAGAGAGCGGGGCAGGGACUGCCAUCCUCUGAGCUGCUGUGAGGAGGCAGCAGAACAAGUUCAGCAGAGGGACCUCGACUUCUGGGGACACUGAACAACGUAGAGGCACAAGGAUCCUCUGAGGCUUCCAUGAGCCCCUCCUUCCUGUCCCACUCCCUCAUCCCUCCCCAGGGGGAGUGGAGGGGUCAGAGAAGUGACAGAGGCAGCUGCUGGUGUGAAGAAGCAGACUUUGGUUUGGACAGGAAGAAGUCCUGAACUUCAGCAGGAAGAUGCAGCCCAGAUGCUUCACUUGGACUUUUUGUUCAAGAGUCAACGGUUAAUCAACAGUCAAUUUAAAAUAGAAAUACAAAAUAAUAAAAAAGUAAAAAAAA
This is a non-coding RNA of Meleagris gallopavo (turkey), 793 nucleotides long. The record is from RefSeq and is a predicted model, not a curated record. Lineage: Eukaryota; Metazoa; Chordata; Aves; Galliformes; Phasianidae.